Molecule: ribosomal RNA, 230 nt
Filed under: uncultured bacterium
Lineage: Bacteria
Description: partial 16S ribosomal RNA
Rfam family: Bacterial small subunit ribosomal RNA
Source: RNAcentral
UACAGAGGAUGCAAGCGUUAUCCGGAAUGAUUGGGCGUAAAGCGUCUGUAGGUGGCUUUUUAAGUCCGCCGUCAAAUCCCAGGGCUCAACUCUGGACAGGCGGUGGAAACUACCAAGCUGGAGUACGGUAGGGGCAGAGGGAAUUUCCGGUGGAGCGGUGAAAUGCGUAGAGAUCGGAAAGGAACACCAACGGCGAAAGGCGACUCUCGUGCCUAGGCCGACACUGAGCA